GCCGCGCCUCUCCCUCCCGCAGGGUGGGCGCCGGCCCCGGGCGGUGCGCGGCGAGCGCGGCCGGGGCUCCGGGCCGGGGUCGCCACCCCGGGGCGGACGCGGGCGGAGGGAGGGGCCGGUGUGGGGCGGCUGGCGGCGGCGGCGGCGGUGCUGUCGACGGGGGCGGGGGCCGGGGGCCGGCGGGCUGUGGCAGGAGGUGACAAGGACUCCCAGCGGGACGCGCCGCGGAGCGCCGGGACUGCUCUAGCCGCCGCCCGGCCCCAUUCUCCCCUCUCGUUACUACAGUUCUUUAAAAAGCUCUCGUCGCCCUCCCUGCCACCAAAAAAAAUUAUUUUUUUUUAACGUCCUGUUGCUUCACAGGGGACUUUCGCGGUGGGCGUCACGUGGUCCGACACGUAGCCGUAAGGUGCGAGAGCGCGUGCGCGCGCCUGGGCCGACAGCCACGCCCCUUCCGAGGGUCGCCCCGCCCCCGCCCGGGCCCAGCGUGCGGUGGGGGGAUUUGAGGGGCCUGGCGUGCGCCUGCGUGGGGCAGGGGCGGGCGGGCGGGGCCGGGGAGGGUGCGCACAAGGAGGACGAGGGAGGGGGAGGUGUGCGGGCCUUUUUGCGAGAACCGCGCCUCGGUCUGUGGGGCCCGACGGACCCCGAAGGGCGGGGACGGGAAGCCGAGAGGUCUGAGCUCCGAGGCCCUCGCUGUAUCUUUUGUGCGGCCCCUUUUCGCCUUCGCAGGACUUGACCACGGCGGGCCCCGACUGCAGCUAGGUCGUUGGUGGGACCGCCCGACCCUCUCUCCGCCCCUCGUUCCCCCAUCCCGCAUCCCUGCGGUCUCCUUCGGUUCCCAGAGCCUCGCGGUGGGAAGGAGCCUGAGGAGUGGCGGGUCCCGCGUGGGCGCGCCUUGUCUCCCCGACGGCGUCGCCGCUCUCGGGUUCUGCUUCGUGAUGGCAUCGGCAUCCAGAAAUAAGAUGCAGCCGCAGUAAAGAAAUAAAGAGCAUGUGCCCUGUUGAAGAGCGAGAGUCAACAUUUCUAUUUGCAAAUUGCAGCAAUAACCAUACGAUGGGCACGAGGGUUUGCCAAGCACAAUGAUGGAUUUCAGAUUUUUAGUGCUCUCCCUGCGUGCCCGCGAGCCCGCCUCCAGGUGCUUUGCCACCGGAAGUCCACGCCGUGCAGAAGUGCACACAUACGUCCUUGCUGUUGUCUGCUGACCCUCCUUUUCAUUCUCCUCACAGCACUUGUUUCCUCCUGACACAGCCUGUCUAUGUGGACAUUGGAGGUGGGCAUGAGGGCCGGACGCCUCCCCUUGGAGACAAGCGCAGCACAGACAAUCCCCUGCCCUUUCUGUGUCACGCUCCGCCUUGGGCAUUGGAGGUCCACAGCACACCACUUCCCAGCCUGCCUGUCAGUGCAGUGAGAAUGCAGAAAUUCUUGGGAUACAUCUCUUGUCUUCAAGAAGCUUAAACAUCUAAAAAUGACUGUGGGAAGACCAAGGACAUUAGUGCAGAUAUGUCACAUGACCUUGGCAGGUGGCCCUGCGCACAAGGAGUGUGUGUGGGUGAGCCUCUCGUCGAAGAUCCCUGUGACUUUGCUCACGAAAAAUCUCUGAUAUGUUGACCCUAAAAAUGGUUCCAUAGCUAAUAUCAGUAAUUAACCACACGUUGUCUUAAAUUUGAUUUUAUUUGCUUAUGGCUAUUCUGGACAUUUAAAAUGUAAAAAAUUGCAGUAUCCCAAGCAUUCUUAUACUACAUCAUGUUCUUGCAGGAACAAAAAUGUUCCUUGGACUUAAGAAUCAAUGUUUGAUGGCUUUUGGUCCCAAAUGUUCUUUCUAAAAAUGUUAACCCUUGAAUUUUUCUAAAAGGGAAUGGGCAUUCCCUGUUUCUUUGUAAAGUAAAUCUUUGUUUAUCGUGUUAAUGGAUUUGUUGAGACUUCUUUUAAAUUGUGAGAGGGCUGAUCAGGUCUGUUUAAAAGGUGGAAAUGACACGUUGUAAGUGUGAACAUCUUCAUCAACACAUACCAGUCCCUGUCGCUAACCCCGAGGCGCUCCGGGCUGAGCCAGGUGGUAACAGUAACGUGGCACAUGGAAGGAGAGGUAGCCGGGGAAAGUGAACGCUGGAGACAGAGCGCUGUCUGCGUGGGGAGGGGCACCGCCUUCCAGGCCAGGAGCCUCGCGGGGCCGCUCAGGGGGCCACACGGGGCAGCUGGGGGGUGGGGGGCGGCCCUGGGCCUGGAAGCAGCAGCGCGAGUGCAGAUUGUAGACCUUGACGGACACGUGGCGGUGGCCGCGUGCCAGGCUCUCCGGUGGGAGUUUCCCACGAGACUAGUAGGUGCCAGAUUUCGGUCGUUCUCGAAUGUCAAGCUGAAGUGUUCAUAGACAGGAGACGUAGGAUUUUGUUUAACGCAAGGAAAUUAAUCAAUAAAACAGUAACAUGAAUUCUGUUCGGUGAGGUACAUUUGUAUCUGAUGGGGCUAACGCAACACUGGUCGAGUGAAAGGCACUGCUCUCCGUGGCAAUACCAGUCGGGCCGCCUUUCCAAACCACGGACACGUUUGCAGAUGUAACACUCACAUUUAGCUUAAACCACUGCACGGCAGUUAGCUAUUAACUGGCCGGGUCAGGUUUCCACUCAUUUGACCCCAAAGGAAACUUUAGAGGUAAAAAGCUUCUCAGCCCAGAGGCAGGCCCUUGUGCCAUGUAAUCCAAUCUUCAUUCCACAUUUAAACAGAAACUUGGACUUAAAAAUCAUUGUCUGUUAUAUAUAGGAACACGAGAGAAUUAAAAAUGCAUUUUUGUUUUGAUCAACUUUCAGGCGGAUUCAGAAUUUAAUGAUUGCAAAACAAUUUCCAUAGUGUUCCCCUGGGUUGGGUUGAUUUGUUGUGUUUUCCCUUUAGGAUGAAUCUGUGAUUUGCUUUUUUAACAUAUUAAAAAUGUUAAUAAUGUA
Molecule: long non-coding RNA, 2930 nt
Organism: Phyllostomus hastatus (greater spear-nosed bat)
Lineage: Eukaryota; Metazoa; Chordata; Mammalia; Chiroptera; Phyllostomidae
Exons: 4
Source: RefSeq, a predicted model, not a curated record